UCGGUGAAACGUUUUAACAGCUGCGGUAUUUUAACUGUACUAAGGUAGCAUAAUAAUUUGCCUUAUAAUUUGAGGCUAGAAUGAAUGGUUUGACGAAGGUUAAUCUGUCUCCACUUUAUUUUUUAGAAAUUAAUUUUCAUAGUGAAAAAGCUUGAAUUUUUUAAGGGGACGAGAAGACCCUACUGAGCUUAUAAUUUUAUUAAAACAUAUAUUCAUAUAUAUUGUGUUAUAUAAAUUUUAAUUGGGGUGAUUAAGGAAUAAUAAUAUUAUUAUAUAUGUAACUUCCUUAGAAAUAUUAUAUUGUUGAAUAAAGUAACCGAUAAAUUAAUAUAAUUAUUAUGUAUUGCUUAUAAUAUAGUUACCAUAGGGAUAACAGCGUAAUUUACUUAGAGAGUUCUUAUUGAAAAGUAAGAUUGCGACCUCGAUGUUGGAUUAAAGUAACCUUAAGGUGCAGAAGCUUUAUGGGGUAAAUCUGUUCGAUUUU
This 484-nucleotide ribosomal RNA is filed under the name Uroteuthis sp. 3N JATM-2019. Its description in RNAcentral is "partial 16S ribosomal RNA". It matches the Rfam family "Bacterial large subunit ribosomal RNA", at positions 1863 to 2588 of the family's 2925-position model. The record is from RNAcentral. Lineage: Eukaryota; Metazoa; Mollusca; Cephalopoda; Myopsida; Loliginidae.